Molecule: ribosomal RNA, 222 nt
Filed under: uncultured bacterium
Lineage: Bacteria
Description: partial 16S ribosomal RNA
Rfam family: Bacterial small subunit ribosomal RNA
Source: RNAcentral
UAAACGUCCCAGUUCGGAUUGUAGUCUGNAACCCGACUACAUGAAGCUGGAAUCGCUAGUAAUCGCGGAUCAGAAUGCCGCGGUGAAUACGUUCCCGGGUCUUGUACACACCGCCCGUCACACCAUGGGAGCCGGGAAUGCCCGAAGUCGGUGACCUAACCUUUAAGGGAGGAGCCGCCGAAGGCAGGUCUGGUAACUGGGGUGAAGUCGUAACAAGGUAGC